AGUCGUAACAAGGUUUCCGUAGGUGAACCUGCGGAAGGAUCAUUACCGAGUGAGGGUCCCCUCUGGGGGCCCAACCUCCCACCCGUGUCUACUGUACCAUGUUGCUUCGGCGGGCGCGCCCGUGCCCGCCGGAGACCCCUCGAACGCUGUUGUGAAUUAAGGUUGUCUGAGUGAGAUUGCAAACUGUCAAAACUUUCAACAACGGAUCUCUUGGUUCCGGCAUCGAUGAAGAACGCAGCGAAAUGCGAUAAGUAAUGUGAAUUGCAGAAUUCCGCGAAUCAUCGAAUCUUUGAACGCACAUUGCGCCCCCCGGCAUUCCGGGGGGCAUGCCUGUCCGAGCGUCAUUGCCACCCCUCAAGCACGGCUUGUGUGUUGGGCCGCCGUCCCCCCCGACUUCCGGGGGGGACGGGCCCGAAAGGCAGCGGCGGCACCGCGUCCGGUCCUCGAGCGUAUGGGGCUCUGUCACCCGCUCUGGAGGCCUGACCGGCGCCUGCCCACCCGUCGAUCUUUCCAGGUUGACCUCGGAUCAGGUAGGGAUACCCGCUGAACUUAAGCAUAUCAAUAAGCGGAGGAA
RNAcentral lists this unclassified non-coding RNA (574 nucleotides) under Rasamsonia aegroticola. RNAcentral describes it as "sequence contains 18S rRNA gene, ITS1, 5.8S rRNA gene, ITS2, 28S rRNA gene". The stretch from base 191 to 344 matches the Rfam family "5.8S ribosomal RNA". The record is from RNAcentral. Lineage: Eukaryota; Fungi; Ascomycota; Eurotiomycetes; Eurotiales; Trichocomaceae.